UUAGCCAAGGAUAUGUAGGCAACCUCCAAAGCAGGGUGCGGUCAAACUUUUCAAAAAUGCUUCACACGGAAUAUUCAAAUGGCCAAAAAUCACUCGUUUUCGCUCACUUAUCUUUGCACGAAAACUCUUCGUAUUUCUGGGCAAAGAGGGGCAGCUGUGAGCAUGUGAUUUUUGACCUAAGCAAGUUAUUCUCAAAAAUUAAAACAAAG
RNAcentral lists this long non-coding RNA (209 nucleotides) under Nicotiana benthamiana. RNAcentral describes it as "long non-coding RNA (NBEN_LNC007961)". The record is from RNAcentral. Lineage: Eukaryota; Viridiplantae; Streptophyta; Magnoliopsida; Solanales; Solanaceae.